Pezoporus occidentalis (night parrot) is the source of this 2956-nucleotide RNA transcript. It is a transcript of the gene named phosphatidylinositol glycan anchor biosynthesis class P, with no coding region annotated. The transcript has 6 exons. The record is from RefSeq and is a predicted model, not a curated record. Lineage: Eukaryota; Metazoa; Chordata; Aves; Psittaciformes; Psittacidae.
CACGACCGGGAAACCUGUGACAGUGUCUGACCGUGUCCUCUGUGCGCCGUCCUCCCCUCUCCGCGCUCUCCAUUCCCGCCCCCAUUCCCCCCGUAGUUAGAGGGAAGAGGCGGACAUGGUUGAAAACUCUCCAGCCCCACUGCCGGAAAGGGCAAUAUAUGGAUUUGCUCUUUUUUUAGGAUCGUGGUUUGGCUUCAUGUUGUACCUCAUCUGGGCUUAUGUUCCCGAGACUUGGCUGUUCUCACUGGGACUAACAUACUGGCCUCAAAAAUACUGGGCAGUUGCUUUGCCGGUGUAUCUACUGGUUGCUGUAGGAAUUGGUUAUAUAUUACUUUUUGGUAUUAACAUGAUGAGUACAGCUCCACUUAACUCCACACAUACUAUUACAGAUAACUAUGCAAAAAAGCAGCAGCAGAAGAAAUUCCAAGAAGAAGCAAUUCCAGCACUGAGGGAUAUUCCCAUCAGUGAAUAGUUUGCUAUUUUUUUCCACCUGUGUUUGAAGAAAAAACCCAAACCUGCUAGGUGUUACGGAUUGGAUGGCUGGAAGAAGAAAAGGAAAGAAAAAGCAACACAGCAUCUCAAAUGUUAUUUCAGUUUCUAGACAUAAAAGUGAUGCCCUUGCAGGAAGAGAAAGAACUUGUUUCAGCAGUAGUGAAAUGGAGUUGUCUUUCUCCUUGAGAUACGCAGGUACACUUUUGCUGUUACCUAAUGCAUUCUGAAGUGUACAGGCUGUCUUAAAAAUAUUUUAGCUUACUAUGAAAUGCUGUCAUCUUGAUUUGAUGAUCUUUAAAAUAAUCAUUGUUUGUGAUUGGGGAUAUAAGCAAAAACGUAAGUAACAAAUUACUCUAGAUAUUUUAUGGCAAAGUUCAUAUACCAGUAAGUGCCAUCAAAGACCGUCUCAUAUGAAUCAGAAAGCUGUAAUAUUAGAUGGUUAUAUUGUUGCUGCAAGCAGCAUUUCUGUAAAGUUAAAAAUUGUCCUGGGUCGGGCGGGCUUAUACUGCCUAUGAAGCAGGUAGUGUGCCUGGAGCUUUUCUAAGAGCAGGAGUGUGGAAAAUGUAUGUUUUAGUUCCACAGUGCAGUCUCUGGUACUCUGGUGGUUCAUUGGUACACCUCCAUGCAAGGUGGUCUAUAAACAUUAAAAAUGCAACUCUACCUCCAACAGCAAGUAAAGUGUAUACAAGAAAUGAUGGUAAAGUAAUAGUAACAGGUUUUUACAUUCUUUUUAGUGGAACUUGAGAUGCUGUGAGUUAAAUCAGGAAAAGUUAGGCUAAAAAUAUACCUUAAGGAGGAGAAGUGAUAACUUUAGAAGCAGUGAACUUCCCAACUCUCGUUCAAUAUGAGAAUGGAGGUAAUGUGAGGUAGGCUAAAUAGUGUUUGACUCUUCUUCCUCUUCUCCCCUGCGCCAGCAUUCUGUGCCAUGAGAGUGUAACAUUGAUAUCUUAGCUGAAUCUCUAGCAAUUCAGUUUGAUAACUUUGAUUAGAGUAAUAAGAAGUUACGAGUUCUUUGCCUUAAUACAGUGUUUCUCUAAUACCUAAUUCACAUUCAUGCCGAAGCUCCCACCAACGGAAACUUACCACUAAAGCUCUUUUGAAAAAACAGCUUUUUGAGUACUUGCUUUCUUUACCAGGCAGUUUCAUUUUGGGGUGUAAAUGAUAAAGCAUUUCUGACUUACAAACAGAACAGUUAAUAAAUGAUUUUGUGUAAAUAAAUUUUGUUCCAUAAUGCAUCUUUUCCAUCGGCACUUGAGUCUGAGUGGCUAAAAUGUUUUAACUCAAAGUCCUGCUUGCUGCUGUACUAUUAGAUCUCCAGUCAGCUCUAAAACAACUGAGAUGAAUGGGUUUUUUUAUAUGCCUCCCUCUAUUCAUGAAUGGAACUGUAUUCUGAGGAGAAAGUUUUGGAAGCAUUUAGUCUUGUUCUGCCAGUUCCCUUACAGAGAAAUUGCCAAAGUAAAUUUUGUUGGCAUGCUGUGCAGUUUCUGUAUCAACUUAAAUCUCAACCUUUUGCUUAAAUCAGCUGAUAGUUUAAACCAGUCUGAAAAUCACGAUUAUAUUGAAUGUAAUUUUAAGUAGUAUAUGUUUCAGAGAAGGGGGUGAAUUUUGCUUCCUGAGCUUAUAAAGCUGCUAUUUGGAAAAUUGCUUUUUCUCAGUUGUGGCAACUCAGUCCUACUGCUGUUGUCAUUCUCUCAGUAUAAAUGUAGCUUAGGAAAAAAAUGUGAUUGUGAUAGUUGGUUUUUUCCUUAAUGCAAAUUAUUACUGCAUUACUAGUAAUAAUUUGGCAUUAUUUUAUAAAGAACACUCAAAGAACUUUAAUGUCAUGCAAGGAUGUUAUUCCCUUGGAUCUAUGUAUCCUCCAAGAUCUUGUCUUGGAAGAUCUUAGAAGUAGAAUUCAAGACUGUUUUAUGAGCAUACUUUAAUUUUGAUUUUUCACAUGAAUACAUGCAAUAGAAAUAUAAAAGUGUAGGCAUUGUCUGAAUAACUCCCCAGCAUUCAUGUACAAGUGGAACAUGAACUUGUCUUUUGCUCUUGUAAUUUUAGACAAAGAUAAUCAAAAGGUAGCAUUUGCUGGAAGUGUUGAACUACUAAGGGAAGUUAUGUGGAACAGAGAUCUUGAGCCAACAAAUCAAUUUGUAAAAUGCUGUGUUUCUAGUCUUGUCUUUGAAGUAUUAAGCUCAUGAUGGACUCACUAUAUGGGGAUGCUUUGUUAUCUUUUUCCUGUAAAUGAUGGAUCAUUUUGAGGUUACUGAAAUCCUAGCAAGGUCAAACUGUAGGUGAAGAAACAAACCAGAGCUGACAGCUGAAAGUUAACUCCAGCCAAACAAUAGAGAUGCUAUAUUUCUAUUAGUUCACUUUUAGUCUUCUCUUAAUUAUUAACAACCUGUAAGGGAUCACAAUGCAUAUCUUAUUUAGUGUGCAAAUAAGGGUACUUUAAUGUUGUAACAUGAAAAGACAGUUAUUU